GACGAACGCUGGCGGCGUGCUCAACACAUGCAAGUCGAACGGAAAGGCCCUGCUUUUGUGGGGUGCUCGAGUGGCGAACGGGUGAGUAACACGUGAGUAACCUGCCCUUGACUUUGGGAUAACUUCAGGAAACUGGGGCUAAUACCGGAUAGGAGCUCCUGCUGCAUGGUGGGGGUUGGAAAGUUUCGGCGGUUGGGGAUGGACUCGCGGCUUAUCGGCUUGUUGGUGGGGUAGUGGCUUACCAAGGCUUUGACGGGUAGCCGGCCUGAGAGGGUGACCGGCCACAUUGGGACUGAGAUACGGCCCAGACUCCUACGGGAGGCAGCAGUGGGGAAUAUUGCACAAUGGGCGGAAGCCUGAUGCAGCAACGCGGCGUGCGGGAUGACGGCCUUCGGGUUGUAAACCGCUUUCGCCUGUGACGAAGCGUGAGUGACGGUAAUGGGUAAAGAAGCACCGGCUAACUACGUG
RNAcentral lists this ribosomal RNA (468 nucleotides) under uncultured bacterium. RNAcentral describes it as "partial 16S ribosomal RNA". It matches the Rfam family "Bacterial small subunit ribosomal RNA", at positions 28 to 507 of the family's 1533-position model. The record is from RNAcentral.